Molecule: ribosomal RNA, 419 nt
Filed under: uncultured bacterium
Lineage: Bacteria
Description: bacterial SSU rRNA
Rfam family: Bacterial small subunit ribosomal RNA
Source: RNAcentral
AGAGUGAUGAGAGUAGCGGACGGGCGAGUAACGCGUGGGUAACCUGCCCUUUGCAGGGGGGAUAACAUCGGGAAACCGGUGCUAAUACCGCAUAAGACCACAGUGUCGCAUGGCACGGCGGUCAAAGCUGAGGCGGCAAAGGAUGGACUCGCGUCCAAUUAGCUGGUUGGUAGGGUAACGGCCUACCAAGGCGACGAUUGGUUUCCGAACUGAGAGGUUGAUCGGACGCAUUGGGACUGAGACACGGCCCAGACUCCUACGGGAGGCAGCAGUGGGGAAUAUUGCGCAAUGGAAGGAAACUCUGACGCAGCAACGCCGCGUGAAGGAUGAAGGCUUUCGGGUUGUAAACUUCUUUGAUCGGGGACGAAGAUGACGGUACCCGAGGAACAAGCCACGGCUAACUACGUGCCAGCCGCCGC